UAGGAAACAGAUGAGUGUGCUGAUUUUAAAAAUGCUUUCCUGGUAUUCAGACGUUACAACUACAGGCCUGGCUCCCGGCUAAGUAAGAUGCCUAAUGGGGACCUCCGGGAGGCCUCCCAAGACCGUGACAUUUACAGAAGUAGAAAGAAUGAGAAGUUGGGAGUGCCUCAAGUAGCUAGAACCACAUACUCCAGGAAAAAAAUGGACCAAAUGCAGAGGACAGCCUCAGCCUUGUUUUCUGUCUAGGGGCUGUACCUGUGCCACUGUAAGAAACCCCAGGCAGAACUUCUGCUGGCAUCUAUGAGAAGGCACAAAAAUCAAAAAUCUCAGACUGAGUAACGACUUGAGGGAAGAGUAUAAACUAAAAUAUUUAAUUGUUAAUGACUUCAAAAUUUCUGCAGAGUUUCAUGAAGUCCAGAUUCACUCUCAAACUUUGUACUGUGAGCUCCUUUCCAGUGAAGUUCAUGUCUCCAUUUAUUCAGUCAUUCAUCCAAAAAAAAAAAAAAAAAGUUUCUAAGAAGCUCUGAUGUGGCAGUCUUCUCUGCUAGUAGUGGUGACCCAAGGAUCCUUCCCUUUCUGGAGUGACAGUCCACCGAGAAGAGACUGACUAAAGAGUUACAAGCAGACUGCUACCUAACUCUUUACAUCCUCAAAGCCAAGCAUGGUGGCUGGCACCCACGCUUUAUGAAAGAGAAAUGAGAAAGAAACAAGGAGAAAAGUAAGGUUCAGGUUAUUGCCAUCUCCCUGCCAAGUUUCAUAGAUAAAAUAUUUGCGUAAUUAACUAAGUAAGGGACAUACAAUGGUAGGUUCCUAUAUAACAUACAUUCAACUGUAAAAAUAUUUCCCACCUCCGCCUGAAAUCAUGACUAUUAAUCAACUUCAGAAAUGACAAAAUUUUCAGUAAUGUAGCCUAGAUCAGUUAGUUUUUGGCCAAUAAACUGUUGGUGGAGAUUAGGAAAGAGACCACAGGACGAUGAGCAUCACGACAUUGACUAAGGAUCAUAAAUUCAUGGAACAGAACCAAUUCUGUAAGAGCUGAGAUUAACUUGAAGGUGCCUAUCAAAGAGUUGAUACUCAUCCACAAAGGCUUUCCAUCUUGGUAGAGAUAAGGCUUCCUAGAAAAGCCAGAUUUUAAUGAGGUUGCAACAUAUGAAUAAAAGGGAAUGAUGGGCCAGAGGACUAGGGCGAGGGUACACCAGCAUCUGCAUAGCAAAAUAAGUAAAACAUUAACGAAAAUGUGACGGCUGCUGCCGGAUGCCAGGAACCAUGCUAAGUCACUGUGGUGGGACACGACUAAGACCUAGGGCCUGACUCUAGGUGUUUGCUGGUGAUUACUCAAGAGCCACAGAAAAAGAGGCCAUAUUUGAGCAUAAAUAGAAGUCUUAAAAGGGAAAUAGGAUCAAACUGACUCACAUUUCUUUACCAGGGGGCUUUAGCAGCAUCCGAAAACACCAUCCUUGGAAUCAGGAGGGAGAAAGCAUGACCACAGCUUCAUUCCAUUAAGAGCUACUAUGUGAAAUAUUUACAGAUGAAAUGAUGCCAAGCCUGGGAUUUGCUUCAAAAUAAUCCUGGGUAUGCAGUGGAGUGAAGGUAAAACCAGCCCAUGAUGCAAUCAUUGUUGAAGCUGGAUGAACUUCAAUGGAAAAUCACUGUAAAGAUUCACAAAAAUUAAGGACAUCUCCCAAUGUCUGGGACUAAAACCAAACAGGGACCCGAGAAUCAGGGCUGAGCUGCGUUGGAAUCUUGAUCUUCCGGCAGAAAACCCUUCCAAAACCUUCCAACAUAACACCGCUCAUGUAUAGGUGUUCCAGACCGAAUGUCCAGUUAUUUCCACCAUUGUGCAAAAACGGGAGUCCCUGCCGAGCAGCAGAUGGCCCUCAGCGAGGCUGACACUCAGGCCAGGCCCCAGGUGGCAGCUCUCAGAACACACUGUCCAGUUAAACCCUGCAUAGGCUAGCCACAGAAAAUACCUGGUGUUCACAUCCCCCAAAGGUUGGCCAAAUGACAAGGGUCAAGCAGUACACUUCAUGGGUUAGCAGGGAGAACCAGCAUUUCAGCAGAAAUACGCAAAUCACUGAGUCCCCCCUGUCAAACAUUGCAAAUAUGUAGCAUGCUAAGAAAAAAAUCUCCUUACCUCUCAGAUUCUGUAUCGCUUGGUUCAUCUGAGUUGCAACACUGGACAAUAAAAUCUAAUAAGUUAAAAUACGGUGUGGAAUGCUCAGGAGAAAAACAAAGGCUAGUGUUCCUCAUCUGAGUGAAUAAUUUCUCUCAGUUUAUUUUAGCUUUGCAAGUUAUUUGUGAUUAUAUUUUAAAUCGGAAUUUGUGCAUGUGUGAUUUAAAAUAAAAAAGGCAAUCAAGUCUUUCUGCCAAUCUAGGUGAUGUGAAAUUUAAUUAUGGAGCAGUUAUUUAUUAAAACAAAGGCAAAGCAAUUUUUUUACACAUAAUUGAAUAUUCCAGAAGAAAAUUUCUGAAAAAUCCAAAGGUCCAAAAGAAAACUUCUCAGUGAGAAUGUCUGUUUCAAUAAGAUACCCUAUUUUGUAGUAUUGGACCCACAGAAUUUCUAGUUAGACAUAAAUAAGUCUUGCCAGAAUUACUGUAGUUCAGUUUUGCUGUCUGCAUCUAGAAAUACGGAAGACAGCUAUGUUACUGGUUACGACUCCACAGUAAUGAGUAAUGAAAAUUCCUACUUAUCAUUUCUACAUCAACACCAGUGUGACUCAAAAAAAAAGCAUGAUUUACCUGGCAAACACUCCUGUUACACAGAAUCCAAAGAAAUAAACACCUCAAUCCAUUCAGGAAUGUUCCUUUCCCAA
Molecule: long non-coding RNA, 2813 nt
Organism: Cebus imitator (Panamanian white-faced capuchin)
Lineage: Eukaryota; Metazoa; Chordata; Mammalia; Primates; Cebidae
Exons: 4
Source: RefSeq, a predicted model, not a curated record